UUUUUAGUGAAUCAAAUGUUAUCAUCCGGCAUUGAAAAUUGAAAUGUUUUUAUAAAGGAGGAAUUAUUAGGAAUCUUUGGUUAGUUAUUUAAAGGUGGACAGGAGAUAAAUUUUGCACAUACAGCCCGUCAAGCAAAAAGCAGUGAUGUAGAUGUAAACAGACCAGCACACAAGUGUGUAAUAACGUGCUAAUUUUAGUUAAGUCGAAACAUGGUU
This 216-nucleotide ribosomal RNA is filed under the name Climacostomum virens. RNAcentral describes it as "partial Microsporidia small subunit ribosomal RNA". Lineage: Eukaryota; Ciliophora; Heterotrichea; Heterotrichida; Climacostomidae. The record is from RNAcentral.